Molecule: transfer RNA, 72 nt
Filed under: Caenorhabditis briggsae
Lineage: Eukaryota; Metazoa; Nematoda; Chromadorea; Rhabditida; Rhabditidae
Description: tRNA CBG28686
Rfam family: tRNA (bases 7-64)
About the family: Transfer RNA (tRNA) molecules are approximately 80 nucleotides in length. Their secondary structure includes four short double-helical elements and three loops (D, anti-codon, and T loops). Further hydrogen bonds mediate the characteristic L-shaped molecular structure. tRNAs have two regions of fundamental functional importance: the anti-codon, which is responsible for specific mRNA codon recognition, and the 3' end, to which the tRNAs corresponding amino acid is attached (by aminoacyl-tRNA synthetases). tRNAs cope with the degeneracy of the genetic code in two manners: having more than one tRNA (with a specific anti-codon) for a particular amino acid; and 'wobble' base-pairing, i.e. permitting non-standard base-pairing at the 3rd anti-codon position.
Source: RNAcentral
GCAACGAGCUCAGUCGGUUAGAGCGUGGGUCUAAUAAGCCCAAGGUCGCAGGUUCGACCCCUGCUGGCGGCA